GAGGGUAUAGCUUAGUGAUAGAGCACAUGCUUAGCAUGCUAGCAUUCAAGAGGUCCUGGGUUCAAUCCCUGGUACCUCCA
This 80-nucleotide transfer RNA is filed under the name Camelus bactrianus (Bactrian camel). It matches the Rfam family "tRNA". From Rfam's summary of the family: Transfer RNA (tRNA) molecules are approximately 80 nucleotides in length. The record is from Rfam by way of RNAcentral. RNAcentral also lists the same sequence under 1 other name. Lineage: Eukaryota; Metazoa; Chordata; Mammalia; Artiodactyla; Camelidae.